UGCGUAGGUGGCAGGGUAAGUCGGAUGUGAAAUCUCCGAGCUCAACUCGGAAAUGGCAUUGGAAACUACCCAGCUCGAGGGUUGGAGGGGGGACUGGAAUACUUGGUGUAGCAGUGAAAUGCGUAGAUAUCAAGUGGAACACCAGUGGCGAAGGCGAGUCCCUGGACAACUCCUGACACUGAGGCACGAAAGCUAGGGGAGCAAACA
Molecule: ribosomal RNA, 207 nt
Filed under: uncultured bacterium
Lineage: Bacteria
Description: partial 16S ribosomal RNA
Rfam family: Bacterial small subunit ribosomal RNA
Source: RNAcentral